AUUAACAAAACAGUUUAUUACAAACAACUAUCACGGUUUAUAAGCACCACAAACACAUUUUAAUAUUUUAAUAAUCACCGUUUCUCGGUUCUACUAACAUUUUGCCGAUUUGACAAACAAGUUUGUUGUUUGAAACUAAACUCGUUUAAACGUGUAAGGAAAAUUAACAGUGUAUGUUUUUACUCCAACCUCAACAUCAAGAUGGCCGAAGUGAAAAAAGUGGAAUUCUAAGGAUUUUUACUGAAUAGGUAAGUAUCUAGUUAAUUAGUUAUUCGAUUUAUAAUCAAACCUAAUAUUUUCCUUUUCUAGUAAUUGUUCGUUCCAUAUAACUAGGCUGGUGGACUUUUUUCCAGGUAUAAUCAGAUAACUUUCUCCAUGUCUCCAGCAGCUGAUGUUUCUAUUUGGUGUCCAGCGAAAAUGCCUGUCAAAUAAGUGUGGCCGGAACUCCCUGUGAUGCAUUUAUAUGAGUUGAAAAUGUGGAAAUAAAUGUAAUCAAAA
Molecule: long non-coding RNA, 498 nt
Organism: Culex quinquefasciatus (southern house mosquito)
Lineage: Eukaryota; Metazoa; Arthropoda; Insecta; Diptera; Culicidae
Exons: 2
Source: RefSeq, a predicted model, not a curated record